ACGCGUCGUUAUCGAUAAAGUGUGCUGUCAGGAAUAUAAUUGGAGGAUUGCGGGUAAAUUUCGGUCUGAUGAGAAGUUAUGGGAGAGGAUGGGGUGGCGAUACACAGGGGUGUAAGCCCCUCAAUUCACUGGAGCGAUAAGUCAAACGUCGGAAAACGGAAAGUGAAGCGAUAUGAAACUGUUAUCAGGCGUAUUGUUGCGAGAUAUAUUUCACUUCCAGCUGCUGAAGAUGAAAUGUUAUAAAUGAACUGACACCGCCACUCACAGAUGCAGCGAGCGAAAUUGAAGGAGUCAAGGAAGAAUAUACUCCGAAGAGUUUUCUCAGUACGUUGAAAGGAAGUUGAGUGAAGUGCUUGCUCCUCAGUCUGGCACUUCUUGACCCCUUGAUACUUCG
Long non-coding RNA from Fopius arisanus, 394 nucleotides. RefSeq lists it as uncharacterized. NCBI's taxonomy places the organism in Eukaryota, Metazoa, Arthropoda, Insecta, Hymenoptera, Braconidae. The transcript is spliced from 3 exons. The record is from RefSeq and is a predicted model, not a curated record.